UCCCUCUCAGGGUCACAUCUGGAGAGUUUCCAGUACUCUACCAUCUUGACUAUGGGAGGGAGAGUCAAGCAGAGGCCUCUCCAUUCCUAGCUUGUCCAGUGGCUAGCGAGUGGAAGGCAAUCUGCUACAAGU
Small nucleolar RNA from Ornithorhynchus anatinus (platypus), 132 nucleotides. The record is from RefSeq and is a predicted model, not a curated record. Lineage: Eukaryota; Metazoa; Chordata; Mammalia; Monotremata; Ornithorhynchidae.